CAGUGAGGGUGAGCAGGCUCCAUUGUGUAAAACAUGCUCGGUGUGGUACGGAGCUACAGGAAGUCACAACACUUCUGGACAAGCUGACACUAGGCAGAAAGCAGAGAGUCGAAGACUCAGGUUUCAAGUGAGCAGAGACUCAGAGUGGCACUUAAUGUGUUUAUUUUGCAGAAGGAAACCACCUGGGACACACUCUUUGGCUGACCUGGAGGAGAGGCAUCUUGCCCUUCUCUCUUUCUGCAUCCUCCAGUCUCCCUUCAGAAACGGAAUUCGUGGCUUCCUUGAAAACCUCCUCUCAACCUGGCACAAAAACAAGAAAGAAGCUUGAAAAACAGAUCGUGAACAGACAGCCUCCCCCCCAGAUUUCAACCCCCCGCCCCAUCCGACCUUCAGUGUCCUUCUCGACGUUUCAGCGAGGCAUCCUGAAACCAGGAGUCCUGAUGGCCAUCCCAGCUAUGGGGCUGGGAUGGGGGAUGAAUAAAGAGAGCAAAUCAAGGCAAUGGAGGGAGUGAGAGAAGAUGAAAGGAGGGUUUAGUCAGGGAAGCCUUCUUGGAGGAGAUGUGCCUUCAAUAAGGCUUUGAAAGUGGAGAGAGUCAUUGUCUGUCAGAUGUGAAGAGGGAGGGCCAUCCAGGCCAGAGACAGGAUGUGGCCGAGCGGUCGGCGACUAAACCGAACAAGACGGACGUCCAGGGAGAAGUCUGGCGUUAGAGGAGUGAAGUGUGCAGUCUGGGUCUUAGUAGGAGAACACUGUAAGUGCUCAGUAUAUUGCUUUGUACACAGCAGGUAUUUGGCAAGUAGCCCUGAUUGACUGAAGCCAUUAGUCACUGAAGCCAGUGGAUAGAGCACGAGCCUGGAAGUCAGAAGGUCACGGGUUCUACUCCCGGCUCUGCCACUUGUCUGCCGUGUGACCUGGGGCAAGUCUGGUCUGGAUGGCUCAGCUCUGGGCCUCAUUUACCCCAAUCUGUAAAAUGGGGAUUAAGACCGUGAGCAGACGGUGAGCCUCACACGGGACAGGGACUGUGUCCAGCCUGAUUUGCACUCCUGGCUCUGCCACUUGUCUGCAGCGUGACCCUGGGCAAGUCACUUCACUUCUCUGAGCCUCAGUUACCGCAUCUGUAAAAUGGGGAUUAAGACUGUGAGCUGAGACUCACGCAGGAGAGGGACUGUGUCCAUCCAGAUUUGCUUGUAUCCACCCCAGCGCUUAGAACAGUGCCAGGCACACAGCAAGCGAUUAACAAAUACGAUCCUUAUUCAGAUUAGUUUGGAGUCACAGAUUUCAGGGCUAGCCUGCAACACGCCUUGGAGCUGGCUGACGGCCAGAAGGAAACGGACCCACAAGAUGACAGCACCCUCUUCCAUCCUGCCCAUUUCCCCCUCUGCCCUCUUGCAUUCAAAAUGAGAAGUUGGCAUUGGGGGCGACUAUUCCAAAGUCAUCUGCGUAUUAGGUGAA
RNAcentral lists this long non-coding RNA (1450 nucleotides) under Ornithorhynchus anatinus (platypus). RNAcentral describes it as "lncRNA (ENSOANG00000041351.1)". Lineage: Eukaryota; Metazoa; Chordata; Mammalia; Monotremata; Ornithorhynchidae. The record is from RNAcentral.